GAUGAACGCUGACAGAAUGCUUAACACAUGCAAGUCGAUGGGGAAGUGGUGCUUGCACCAUGGCAACCAUGGCGGACGGGUGAGUAACGCGUAAGGGACUUACCUGCAGGACUGGGAUAACAGGGGGAAACUCCUGACAAGACCGGAUAAUGUCAUGGAGCUGCAUGGCUUUAUGAUGAAAGGAGACGCCUGCGGAGAGCCUUGCGUCCUAUUAGCUAGUUGGUGAGGUAAGGGCUCACCAAGGCGAAGAUAGGUAGCCGGCCUGAGAGGGUGGACGGCCACAAGGGGACUGAGAUACGGCCCUUACUCCUACGGGAGGCAGCAGUGGGGAAUAUUGGACAAUGGGGGCAACCCUGAUCCAGCAAUUCUGUGUGCACGAAGAAGGUUUUCGGAUUGUAAAGUGCUUUCAGCAGGGAAGAAGGAAGUGAC
Molecule: ribosomal RNA, 429 nt
Filed under: Leptotrichia sp. oral taxon 212
Lineage: Bacteria; Fusobacteriati; Fusobacteriota; Fusobacteriia; Fusobacteriales; Leptotrichiaceae
Description: bacterial SSU rRNA
Rfam family: Bacterial small subunit ribosomal RNA
Source: RNAcentral